UUUUAAAUGAAAAUGUUUCUACCAAAAGUAAAUUCAUGGUUAUUCACUUUUUUUCAAUUUAGCCUCUGUACAUGCAGUGCCAUAUUGGGCAAUUAUUUGCUUUAUGACUGGUUGUUUUGAGGAUCUUUCUGUUAUGGGAAGGUAUCCUGUAAUCCUUGGGCACACACACACACUCCUCCUUCCACUCAAACCACCAAUGGCCUCUCGGUAUUCACAUGAAGCAUUAACAUAGGGUAAUGAGUAAACAAAUCAUCCACAGGCAGAAAGAUCUGGCAAACAGUUGUUUUAGUUCAAUAAUGGCAGGCAGCAGACAGACAAGUAAAGGGAGAAUUCUGACAUAUAUUCAGAAAAUGGGAAAUACAGUGAGCUGAUAUGGCAGGAUGAUUUGAACACAGAUGGACAUCCUCUCCAGCACAGACAAGACCAACAACAAGAUACAGUAAGGAGAAUGUGACCUUUUUGGGGAAAAGCCAGAGAAUAUCUGCUCUCCUAUACAAAUCAAUCCAGGAGCUUUUGGCAGAUUGUAGAUUUUAGUAUACAUUUUCCAUUGUCCAGUGUUCAUGUUCAUGGUGAGAGAUGGGCUGAGUUUGAUUCUACAGAUUGAUUGAAGUGGGUCUGGUCAUGCUCAGUGCUCUUCUACUGGCAGUUGACGUUGGUGUGGGAGUCCAAAUGGAAAGCUGUUGCCAUUGUUUGCCAGGAUGGGAAUUGCUAAACUCAGUGUGUUACUACUUUCCCUUGUCUGACUCCAUUCCUCUGAAAACGUGGGAAAGAAGCAGAGAACUGCAUUAAACAAGGCGCUGACCUGGCAAUUAUAGAGUGUAGAGAAGCAGGCAUUCAUAAGUAAGAUGAUACACGAAGUGCAGUUUAACUCCGAACCUAUGCACAUGAAAGGGUUCUGGAUAGGACUGAAGGAGGAAGAGGAUACAGAGGGGACCUGGAAAUGGGUUAACGGGACUGAGCUGACUCGGGGGUAAAAGCUGCACAAGUCAUUGGACUGGAUUCAGGACAAGACCAGAAUGUCUAGAAAGUAACCUUUAACUUGGUUUAAAGGUACUGGCAAGAGACAGCCCAAUGACCACUAUGGAAUGGAGGACUGUGCAGCCAUCUAUUCCAAAAUAAAUUCCAUGAGGUCCUGGAAUGAUGCUCCGCGUACACAUCCAUUGAAAUGGAUAUGUGAAAUACAAUCAAGGAAGGCUUUGACUGUAAAAUGUCAAUUAUUUCAAUAAGUAAAUACAUACAUUCAAA
Coregonus clupeaformis (lake whitefish) is the source of this 1245-nucleotide long non-coding RNA. RefSeq lists it as uncharacterized. The record is from RefSeq and is a predicted model, not a curated record. NCBI's taxonomy places the organism in Eukaryota, Metazoa, Chordata, Actinopteri, Salmoniformes, Salmonidae. The transcript has 4 exons.